AUACUUACCUGGCGGGGGAUACCAUGAUCGCGAAGGUGGUUCACCCAGGGGAAGGCUUAUCCAUUGCACUCCAGAUGUGCUGACCCCUGCGAUUUCCCCAAAUGUGGGAAACUCGAUUGCAUAAUUUGUGGUAGUCGGAGACUACUUGCGCGCUCUAC
Small nuclear RNA from Echinops telfairi (small Madagascar hedgehog), 158 nucleotides. Its record names the gene U1. It matches the Rfam family "U1 spliceosomal RNA". From Rfam's summary of the family: U1 is a small nuclear RNA (snRNA) component of the spliceosome (involved in pre-mRNA splicing). Its 5' end forms complementary base pairs with the 5' splice junction, thus defining the 5' donor site of an intron. The record is from Ensembl. Lineage: Eukaryota; Metazoa; Chordata; Mammalia; Afrosoricida; Tenrecidae.